GUACUUGCUUCGGCAGCACAUAUACUAAAAUAGAAACAAUACAGAGAAGGUUAGCAUGGCGUCUGCACAAGGAUGAAAUGCAAAUCUGUGAAGCAUUCCAUAUUUUU
This 107-nucleotide small nuclear RNA is filed under the name Carlito syrichta (Philippine tarsier). Lineage: Eukaryota; Metazoa; Chordata; Mammalia; Primates; Tarsiidae. The record is from RNAcentral.